ACGUUGCAGUAGAAGUCAGACGUUUGGGCGUGGUGACGAUAGCGUUACUGGCAAGACGUGCAGGCAGGUGUGCACCAGUACAACUCAGUUGUCUCCCGUACUCUCCCCUCUUGCAUGCGUGAGGUAUUGGCAUCCCUUUGCUUGGACUCGUGUGCACCUAGCGCUUUUUCUCCAGGCUGACCGUUGUGCCUAGUCUGCUCUUAACGUUGAGGUGGUUAAAGUGCCAUGGGCAGCCCUCACAGCUCCGUACGCGCAUCCCGCCGCCCAAACGCUGCAGUCGCGUAUGCGUCAGCGUUUUAUUCCCCGGCAGGCUGCGGGCGCGCUCCCCAGACGAAGAGAUAGGCACCAACGUGCCGGUAGCGACUCUCCCCCGUUGCGCAGCUCUCCCCUACCUGCUGUUGCACAGAUGGUGCAGCGCAGACAGACAGCAAGUCCGGUGCGGUCGUGAUGCGUUGUCGCGAUGAUGCAUGCACAAGUGCACACAGGCAAGGGGCUGCGGCGUCUUUGCGUGCCGCGACCGCGUGCGGGGCGUGGAGCAGUGGUGCUGGCGCCGGACCUGCUGCGAGGGUAGCGUGACCAGCCACGGCGCAGAGAAGCGCGUGUGGUCGCCCUUGUUGCGGGGUCGCUCUCCCGCCCUCAUGGCACCCGCCACGGGCGCCGCCACCGUGGAGGACGGCUUGGUGCGACGGACCUGGGCACGUGUGCCGGCGCCGCUGUAGCCGGUCGCGUGCGUCUGUUUUUGCCAUGGAGAACGUGCGACCUGGUGCGCCACGCGCGAUCCGCGGAUCGUCCGACGCUCGAGGCAGACCGCGUUUCACGCAAUGGUGUUGCGCGCAGGGAUGCCAUUGCACGCACCUCACUCGCGCUGCACGGGCCUCCGCCGUCGUGUGUAUAUCGCUGCUCCCCACAUCCUCCGUCCCCUGACCUGGGAACGGCGGGCUGUGAGCGCUCUGUGUGCGCGGGCGCAUGCGUAUCGGCGGGGCUCUUGGGGUGGCCCCUUCCGCUUGACGCAGCCACGCCUGUGAAAGAGGUGCGGGUCGAGGACCAGGUGGGGUGCCCUUUGCUGCCCCCGACUCACAGCAGCGUGCCACCCUGCCGCGGCACAUGCGGGCAUGCGGUCCAGGCACGCGCCCACCCCCCGCUGCAUCGGCGGAAAGGGACGAUGUGGACAGCGCGCUCCCACGGGCAACGAUGCCGCGCUGAAGCAGGCCCCUCCCCCUUCCAAGGUAUGCACAAGUGCGAGCGCUGUGCGCAGGCGCUGUCGGUGGGCAGCUGGCACGGUGUGCCGCACUCCGAGCAAGGUGUGCGGGAGGUGGGCAGGGCUCAGCCCCCGGCUGCGUGUGAGCGGAAUAUGCGGCAUCUUCUGCGUCCGACCGGGGUGGGCUGAUGCUGCACAGGUGCCGGAAGCGUGGGGGAGGACAGCACCGGUCUGCACCAUCGAGUCCUCCAGACUCCCGUGUGGAGAGACGCCGCGCCGCGCUGCGGCAUGCCGCGGCCUGAAGCGGGUGAGGGCGAAGCAUGGCAUGCAGGGAGAGUGCGCAGGGUCUCGGAGGGCCCUGGGCUGAGUCUGGGCAGCGUCCUCCUUGAGCCCACCCGGCACGCACAUAGAAGAACAUCCCCUGCUGCCCGCACGGCAGACGCCGCCGCUUCCUGCCCUCGAGCCGGAGCGUGGGCGCGGCCCGCGUGGAUGACGCCGUGUCGUCCACACCCGGGCCCGCGUGGCGCCGAUGACACGGCACGCAUGCGAGGAAGGGGCGAGGAAGGAGAGGGAGAGGUCAUUAGGCACGCGCCCCGAUGCAACGGCAGGGCGGCUCGCCCUUGACGACGAGGGCGUAGCCGUGGCGCGGCAGGGGUAGGCGAAGUACGGGUGCAUGCGUACAUGUUUCGCGGGGGUUUCCGUGGUUGAUUGAGGUGUUGACAGGAAGGGGAUACUUGGUGACCGGGGGACGUGAAGGAGGUGGCGGUGAUGCCUCUCUCAAGGCGGACGAAAGGGGCGUCGAGGUCGCGCUGGGUGGGGGGAGGGAAGGUGGGUGGGUUGGGGGAAUGCGGCGCUGAGGCUGCGUUGCACAACUGACAGCGAAGGGGAGCAAGGAUGAUGUGCGGCAGCAGAGCUGUGGUUGAAAUCGUGAAAGCAGGGAGAUAUGCAUGUGAAGGAAAAGAAACAGAUUCACAAAGAAAAUUGUAAGGGAGUGGGCUCUAAGGGCGGGAUCGGUACCCAACGUGCGUGAGGUUGAGGUGCCGGAAUUUGGGGAGACGAUCGCUUCUCUCCUUGCUUCCCGUACUUGAGCGUGCCCUGUCGAAUUCUGCGUUCGACUGUGCACGCUUGACUGCUCUUUCGAUGUCUAGUCUUUCACGGAUGGACAACGCCCUGUUCCCACAUUGUCGCGGCACGCGAAUGCAUGCUUCCUGAGAGUUGAG
RNAcentral lists this unclassified non-coding RNA (2418 nucleotides) under Leishmania donovani. RNAcentral describes it as "gene:unknown". The record is from RNAcentral. Lineage: Eukaryota; Euglenozoa; Kinetoplastea; Trypanosomatida; Trypanosomatidae.